UAUGUGAUCGUCUCUCGCAUAUCAAUAAGCGGAGGAAAAGAAACUAACAAGGAUUCCCCUAGUAACGGCGAGUGAAGCGGGAAGAGCUCAAAUUUGAAAUCUUAAAGGGUUUCCCUUUACGAAUUGUAGUUUAAAGAAGUGUUUUCUGUUGAGGUUUUGGUAAAAGUUCUUUGGAAUAGGACAUCAUAGAGGGUGAGAAUCCCGUAUUUGACCUUUACUUUCAACUUUGUGAUACACUUUCAAAGAGUCGGAUUGUUUGGGAAUGCAGUCCAAAAUGGGUGGUAAAUUUCAUCUAAAGCUAAAUAUUGGCGAGAGACCGAUAGCGAACAAGUACCGUGAGGGAAAGAUGAAAAGAACUUUGAAAAGAGAGUUAAACAGUACGUGAAAUUGUCAAAAGGGAAGCGUUUGACACCAGUGUUGUUUUUCUGAAAAUCAAUUAAAGAACUGUUUAUGCUAAGCUGUUUAGACUUUAUCAGCUAUCUGUUUAGUUUUGAGCUUUUCUUUAAUGCACUUUUCAGUUAACAAGUCAACAUCAAGUUUCUUUUGCUGUAAAAAAGCUUGAGGAAGGUGGCUUGAGAUUCGUCUUAAGUGUUUAUAGCCUCUUGCCUAUGCAGUCGGAGAGAUUGAGGUCUGCAGCGUAGAUCCUUCGGGGCUAAAUGCAUUUGUGCUAAGUUAUAGCAUUUUAUAGACAACUUGUUGACUAUGAUUUGUCUUGUAGCUUACUCGCUUAUGUUAUUUUACCUACGCUUAGGAUGUUGAGCGCAUGUCUCUCUCU
This 775-nucleotide ribosomal RNA is filed under the name uncultured Neocallimastigales. RNAcentral describes it as "partial large subunit ribosomal RNA". It matches the Rfam family "Eukaryotic large subunit ribosomal RNA", at positions 24 to 616 of the family's 3401-position model. Lineage: Eukaryota; Fungi; Neocallimastigomycota; Neocallimastigomycetes; Neocallimastigales. The record is from RNAcentral.